Anolis carolinensis (green anole) is the source of this 708-nucleotide long non-coding RNA. RefSeq lists it as uncharacterized. The transcript is spliced from 4 exons. Lineage: Eukaryota; Metazoa; Chordata; Lepidosauria; Squamata; Anolidae. The record is from RefSeq and is a predicted model, not a curated record.
ACUUCCCAGGACAUAAUUUUAAAGUAGCAUUGGUAACACAACCAAUGGCAGGGAGACACGGUGGCAUAUUGGGGACAUGAUAUUAUCUCACAUAUAUAUACACACACAUACACAUACAUACAUAUAUGGAUCUCCUUGUAAAGAAGAGAAGGAUCUUUAUAGAUUUGAAAUUGAGGUUACCAGUACCUGGCUACCAUGAAGAUAUAUUACACGUCUGUCUUGAUUCUCUGCAUAGCCCUCGUCAUUGGUCCAGGGUGCACACAAAAGCCAAAAAUAAAGGAUACUGCUCACUGUUUAGAGGCAGGUGGUACAUGUGAAAAAAAGAAGUGCAAUUUGGCAAAAAAGAUUGGCAAGUGUGACAAAAAAAUGUCAUGUUGCAGAGCAACUAAGUGGUAUGUCUAAAAGAAGCAAUAGGAACUGAUGAGACCCAGCCCAUUUUUCAUUCAACCAUUGCAUAGCUAUCCACAUUGUUUCAACUGCUUCUACCUUCUAGUUAAUACCAUUCAGAUAUUACGAUUCACUCAUUGUUUCCUACUUACUGCUUGGAUGUAGUUCUCCACAGAGGUGUUCAUGUUCACAUAAUAUAUCCAAUGCAAGGGCAGUGAGUCUACCUGUGAACACAGAAGAUAGGUCAAAGUUUUAUGUUUAAUGCUGUGAUUAUUCCUACUUUAAACCAUACAAAUUUAAAAUAAAGUGAUUGGAAAUACA